AAUUUAAAUAGCUUAAUAAAGAGUAUAAUAUUGAAGAUAUUAAGGUGAUUGUAUUAUCUUUAAAU
Molecule: transfer RNA, 65 nt
Filed under: Zinaida nascens
Lineage: Eukaryota; Metazoa; Arthropoda; Insecta; Lepidoptera; Hesperiidae
Description: tRNA-Phe
Source: RNAcentral